AUGGGGUGUUCGCAGCCUCCCUUAGUCCGCCAACGUGCUGCAUAUCAGGCCUUUCUCAAGCAUAGGCAUAUUGAGGUGAGGGAGUACUUGCAACGAGUGAAGGCAAACGAUGAUUACAGCCAUCAAGUGAUGGCGGCUAUGUUGGCGUCUUGGACUAACCGCACGGAGCCACCAAAAGUUGGACCCCCACCACCACCAACGGGAGACGCCCCACACAUUCCCACGUUCGAGGAAUGGCUGGCACUAGGCGGUGAUACUUCGGGGACCGGUGGCUCAACUCCUGCUCCGUCGACCCCAGUCACUCUGAUCUGGCAGAGUGAUUGUGGGCGCGGUGGCGGUUUUGGCGGAGGCGGACUUGGCGGUGGCGGUUUUGGCGGAGGUGGACUUGGUGGUGGUGGUGGUUUUGGCGGAGGUGGACUUGGCGGAGGUGGUGGUUUUGGCGGAGGUGGACUCGGUGGUGGUGGUGGUUUUGGCGGAGGUGGACUCGAUGGUGCUUGA
This 498-nucleotide ribosomal RNA is filed under the name Triticum aestivum (bread wheat). RNAcentral's name for it is "partial small subunit ribosomal RNA". Lineage: Eukaryota; Viridiplantae; Streptophyta; Magnoliopsida; Poales; Poaceae. The record is from RNAcentral.